RNAcentral lists this transfer RNA (72 nucleotides) under Phrynosoma platyrhinos (Desert horned lizard). Its description in RNAcentral is "tRNA-OTHER". The record is from RNAcentral. Lineage: Eukaryota; Metazoa; Chordata; Lepidosauria; Squamata; Phrynosomatidae.
GCCAGCAUGGCAUAGUGGUUUAAGUGUUGGGCUACGACUCUGGAGACCAGGGUUCGAAUCCCGGUUCGGCCA